AGUCGAACGCGUUGGCCCAAUUGAUUGAUGGUGCUUGCACCUGAUUGAUUUUGGUCGCCAACGAGUGGCGGACGGGUGAGUAACACGUAGGUAACCUGCCCAGAAGCGGGGGACAACAUUUGGAAACAGAUGCUAAUACCGCAUAACAGCGUUGUUCGCAUGAACAACGCUUAAAAGAUGGCUUCUCGCUAUCACUUCUGGAUGGACCUGCGGUGCAUUAGCUUGUUGGUGGGGUAACGGCCUACCAAGGCGAUGAUGCAUAGCCGAGUUGAGAGACUGAUCGGCCACAAUGGGACUGAGACACGGCCCAUACUCCUACGGGAGGCAGCAGUAGGGAAUCUUCCACAAUGGGCGCAAGCCUGAUGGAGCAACACCGCGUGAGUGAAGAAGGGUUUCGGCUCGUAAAGCUCUGUUGUUAAAGAAGAACACGUAUGAGAGUAACUGUUCAUACGUUGACGGUAUUUAACCAGAAAGUCACGGCUAACUACGUGCCAGCAGCCGCGGUAAUACGUAGGUGGCAAGCGUUAUCCGGAUUUAUUGGGCGUAAAGAGAGUGCAGGCGGUUUUCUAAGUCUGAUGUGAAAGCCUUCGGCUUAACCGGAGAAGUGCAUCGGAAACUGGAUAACUUGAGUGCAGAAGAGGGUAGUGGAACUCCAUGUGUAGCGGUGGAAUGCGUAGAUAUAUGGAAGAACACCAGUGGCGAAGGCGGCUACCUGGUCUGCAACUGACGCUGAGACUCGAAAGCAUGGGUAGCGAACAGGAUUAGAUACCCUGGUAGUCCAUGCCGUAAACGAUGAGUGCUAGGUGUUGGAGGGUUUCCGCCCUUCAGUGCCGGAGCUAACGCAUUAAGCACUCCGCCUGGGGAGUACGACCGCAAGGUUGAAACUCAAAGGAAUUGACGGGGGCCCGCACAAGCGGUGGAGCAUGUGGUUUAAUUCGAAGCUACGCGAAGAACCUUACCAGGUCUUGACAUCUUGCGCCAACCCUAGAGAUAGGGCGUUUCCUUCGGGAACGCAAUGACAGGUGGUGCAUGGUCGUCGUCAGCUCGUGUCGUGAGAUGUUGGGUUAAGUCCCGCAACGAGCGCAACCCUUGUUACUAGUUGCCAGCAUUAAGUUGGGCACUCUAGUGAGACUGCCGGUGACAAACCGGAGGAAGGUGGGGACGACGUCAGAUCAUCAUGCCCCUUAUGACCUGGGCUACACACGUGCUACAAUGGACGGUACAACGAGUCGCGAACUCGCGAGGGCAAGCAAAUCUCUUAAAACCGUUCUCAGUUCGGACUGCAGGCUGCAACUCGCCUGCACGAAGUCGGAAUCGCUAGUAAUCGCGGAUCAGCAUGCCGCGGUGAAUACGUUCCCGGGCCUUGUACACACCGCCCGUCACACCAUGAGAGUUUGUAACACCCAAAGUCGGUGGGGUAACCUUUUA
This 1428-nucleotide ribosomal RNA is filed under the name Limosilactobacillus fermentum. RNAcentral describes it as "bacterial SSU rRNA". It matches the Rfam family "Bacterial small subunit ribosomal RNA". Lineage: Bacteria; Bacillati; Bacillota; Bacilli; Lactobacillales; Lactobacillaceae. The record is from RNAcentral.